CGAACGCUGGCGGCGUGCUUAACACAUGCAAGUCGAACGGAAAGGCCCUGCUUUUGUGGGGUGCUCGAGUGGCGAACGGGUGAGUAACACGUGAGUAACCUGCCCUUGACUUUGGGAUAACUUCAGGAAACUGGGGCUAAUACCGGAUAGGAGCUCCUGCUGCAUGGUGGGGGUUGGAAAGUUUCGGCGGUUGGGGAUGGACUCGCGGCUUAUCAGCUUGUUGGUGGGGUAGUGGCUUACCAAGGCUUUGACGGGUAGCCGGCCUGAGAGGGUGACCGGCCACAUUGGGACUGAGAUACGGCCCAGACUCCUACGGGAGGCAGCAGUGGGGAAUAUUGCACAAUGGGCGGAAGCCUGAUGCAGCAACGCCGCGUGCGGGAUGACGGCCUUCGGGUUGUAAACCGCUUUCGCCUGUGACGAAGCGUGAGUGACGGUAAUGGGUAAAGAAGCACCGGCUAACUACGUGCCAGCAGCCGCGGUGAUACGUAGGGUGCGAGCGUUGUCCGGAUUUAUUGGGCGUAAAGGGCUCGUAGGUGGUUGAUCGCGUCGGAAGUGUAAUCUUGGGGCUUAACCCUGAGCGUGCUUUCGAUACGGGUUGACUUGAGGAAGGUAGGGGAGAAUGGAAUUCCUGGUGGAGCGGUGGAAUGCGCAGAUAUCAGGAGGAACACCAGUGGCGAAGGCGGUUCUCUGGGCCUUUCCUGACGCUGAGGAGCGAAAGCGUGGGGAGCGAACAGGCUUAGAUACCCUGGUAGUCCACGCUGUAAACGGUGGGUACUAGGUGUGGGGUCCAUUCCACGGGUUCCGUGCCGUAGCUAACGUUUUAAGUACCCCGCCUGGGGAGUACGGCCGCAAGGCUAAAACUCAAAGGAAUUGACGGGGCCCCGCACAAGCGGCGGAGCAUGCGGAUUAAUUCGAUGCAACGCGUAGAACCUUACCUGGGUUUGACAUGGAUCGGGAGUGCUCAGAGAUGGGUGUGCCUCUUUUGGGGUCGGUUUACAGGUGGUGCAUGGCUGUCGUCAGCUCGUGUCGUGAGAUGUUGGGUUAAGUCCCGCAACGAGCGCAACCCUUGUUCACUGUUGCCAGCACGUUAUGGUGGGGACUCAGUGGAGACCGCCGGGGUCAACUCGGAGGAAGGUGGGGAUGACGUCAAGUCAUCAUGCCCCUUAUGUCCAGGGCUUCACGCAUGCUACAAUGGCUGGUACAGAGAGUGGCGAGCCUGUGAGGGUGAGCGAAUCUCGGAAAGCCGGUCUCAGUUCGGAUUGGGGUCUGCAACUCGACCUCAUGAAGUCGGAGUCGCUAGUAAUCGCAGAUCAGCAACGCUGCGGUGAAUACGUUCCCGGGGCUUGUACACACCGCCCGUCAAGUCAUGAAAGUUGGUAACACCCGAAGCCGGUGGCCUAACCGUUGUGGGGGAGCCGUCGAAGGUGGGACUGGUGAUUAGGACUAAG
Molecule: ribosomal RNA, 1448 nt
Filed under: uncultured organism
Description: 16S ribosomal RNA
Rfam family: Bacterial small subunit ribosomal RNA
Source: RNAcentral